This 562-nucleotide ribosomal RNA is filed under the name Desmophyllum pertusum. Its description in RNAcentral is "eukaryotic LSU rRNA". The stretch from base 293 to 562 matches the Rfam family "Eukaryotic large subunit ribosomal RNA", at positions 1 to 266 of the family's 3401-position model. Lineage: Eukaryota; Metazoa; Cnidaria; Anthozoa; Scleractinia; Caryophylliidae. The record is from RNAcentral.
UGAAUUGCAGAAUUCAGUGAAUCAUCGAAUCUUUGAACGCAAAUGGCGCUCUUGGGUUCUCCCAGGAGCAUGUCUGUCUGAGUGUCGGAUAUCAUCCAACGCACGCCAGCGUGCGGAAUUGAGGCGUCACGGUCCGUACUGCACGGACCGUGUCCCUUGAAAGUCAGAGAGACUCGCCGCGUCGCGGGAAGAUUCCCCGUGCACACCAGCGGAGGCUAAAAUGUCUUUUGUCCUUCGCGUGCCGGGAAGUCGCCGCGUGCGGCGGUCGUCGUCGGGCGAACUUUAAUUAUCUUGACCUCAGAUCAGGCAAGGCUACCCGCUGAAUUUAAGCAUAUUAAUAAGCGGAGGAAAAGAAACUAACAAGGAUUCCCUCAGUAACGGCGAGUGAAGCGGGACCAGCUCAAAUUUGAAAUCUCCGAUGCCUGCAUCGGCGAGUUGUAGUUGCGAGAAGCACUUUCUAGGUGGAUCGGUCGUGCCUAAGUUGCUUGGAACAGCACGUCGCAGAGGGUGACAACCCCGUCUGUGGCGCGGCCGGCCGCCGACGAUGUGCUUUCGAAGAGUC